Molecule: ribosomal RNA, 442 nt
Filed under: uncultured bacterium
Lineage: Bacteria
Description: partial 16S ribosomal RNA
Rfam family: Bacterial small subunit ribosomal RNA
Source: RNAcentral
CCUACGGGCGGCAGCAGUGGGGGAUAUUGCACAAUGGGGGCAACCCUGAUGCAGCGACGCCGCGUGGGCGAAGAAGUAUUUCGGGAUGUAAAGCACUAUCAGCAGGGAAGAAGAAAUGACGGUACCUGAGUUUGUAGCACCGGCUAAAUACGUGCAAGCAGCCGCGGUAAUACGGAUGGUGCAAGCGUUAUCCGGAUUUACUGGGUGGAAAGGGUACGCAGGCGGCACGGCAAGGCGGAUGUGAAAGCCCGGGGCUCAACCGGGGGACUGCAUUGGGAACUACCCGGCUAGAGUGUCGGAGAGGGAGGCAGAAUUCCAAGUGUAGCGGUGAAAUGCGUAGAGAUGAGGAGGAACACCAGUGGCGAAGGCGGCCUACUGGACAAUGACUGACGCUGAGGCGCGAAAGCGUGGGGAGCAAACAGGAUUAGAUACCCUGGUAGUC